Molecule: long non-coding RNA, 677 nt
Filed under: Rattus norvegicus (Norway rat)
Lineage: Eukaryota; Metazoa; Chordata; Mammalia; Rodentia; Muridae
Description: long non-coding RNA NONRATT021558
Source: RNAcentral
AUCCAGACAGGAUCCUGUCACACAGCCCAGCCUGCCCACUUCUCACCAUAAGAAGAGAAAAUCCAGCUUGUGCUCAGACUUCACACUGCUUAUUUAUCAGUUGGGCCAAAGAGCCUUCCUCUAGACCUCCUGCUUUUCCUAGGGAGUCUACUGUCAUAGCUACAGGGACUGUCCGUAUUACUUUAUUUCUAAUGUAGAACCGGGCAGGGUGGAGGCGUCUAGGAGGCCAAUAGAUGGCAUCUGGAAUAAGCUGUGAACUUGGGCAUAAGAACCAGUCUGGCCUCUGCUGGGCCUCAAACUCACUGACUGGACAGGGAGAAUGGGGCCUGUUCUUUGACCUGGAGGGUAAGGGUAUGGUGGAGCACUGGCUAGACAGUGGCAUCUAGCCAACACCUAGAAUAAGUUCCCUGCCCCGUGGUCCCUCACGAAGACUAGGCUACUUGCUCUUGUGACUGAGACAGCCUUCUAAUGGCUUUUGAUUUCCUGAAGCCUUAAUCUGAAGUCAGAAACAAGUUUAGUAAUUAAACGUCCCUGGGUGUGGUGGUUCACACCUGUGAAGGAGGGGAUCCCUACAAAUUCGAGACCAGCCUCAUUUACAGAGCAAGUUGUAGGCCAGCUAGGAUCACAUAGGGUUGAUCCUGGGUCAGAAAACCAAAACCAAAAAAAAAAAAAAAAAA